Molecule: regulatory RNA element, 80 nt
Rfam family: pemK RNA
Source: Rfam
AUCAUGAUACUUGUGCGCAGUCGAGAUUAGGUUCCAGAGCGUACCCCUGCCGCGUGGGCAGGGUGGUGAGAUCCCAAUGU